This 410-nucleotide ribosomal RNA is filed under the name uncultured bacterium. Its description in RNAcentral is "bacterial SSU rRNA". It matches the Rfam family "Bacterial small subunit ribosomal RNA", at positions 356 to 773 of the family's 1533-position model. The record is from RNAcentral.
AGGGAAUAUUGCGCAACGGACGGAAGUCUGACGCAGCGACGCCGCGUGAGCGAUGAAGGUCUUCGGAUCGUAAAGCUCUGUCCUUGGGGAAGAAGGGCUUCGGCCUUGACGGUACCCAAGAAGAAAGCCCCGGCUAACUACGUGCCAGCAGCCGCGGUAAUACGUAGGGGGCGAGCGUUGUCCGGAAUUACUGGGCGUAAAGGGUGCGUAGGCGGCCCUUUAAGUCAGAUGUGAAAGGCCACGGCUUAACCGUGGAACUGCAUUUGAAACUGGAGGGCUUGAGUGUCGGAGAGGGUAGUGGAAUUCCCAGUGUAGCGGUGAAAUGCGUAGAUAUUGGGAGGAACACCAGUGGCGAAGGCGACUACCUGGACGAUAACUGACGCUGAGGCACGAAAGCUAGGGGAGCAAAC